This 233-nucleotide ribosomal RNA is filed under the name uncultured bacterium. RNAcentral describes it as "partial 16S ribosomal RNA". It matches the Rfam family "Bacterial small subunit ribosomal RNA", at positions 100 to 334 of the family's 1533-position model. The record is from RNAcentral.
CGGGACGGGUAAGUAAUGUCUGGGAAACUGCCUGAUGGAGGGGGAUAACUGCUGGAAACGGUAGCUAAUACCGCAUAACGUCGCAAGACCAAAGAGGGGGACCUUCGGGCCUCUUGCCAUCGGAUGUGCCCAGAUGGGAUUAGCUAGUAGGUGGGGUAACGGCUCACCUAGGCGACGAUCCCUAGCUGGUCUGAGAGGAUGACCAGCCACACUGGAACUGAGACACGGUCCAG